GAUGAACGCUGGCGGCGUGCCUAAUACAUGCAAGUCGAACGAACGGACGUGCAGUUCGCUUUUGUGUUGGUGGCGGCGAGCGGGGGAGUAACAAGUAGCAAGCCUACCUAUUGGCCUGGGCUAACUUCGGAAACCCGGAGAUACUGCCGAAUAAUCUUUUGAACCGCAUGGUGCAAGCGUGAAAGGCAGUCUUGCUGUUAGUUGUAGUUGAUGCCGCGCUGCAUUAGCGGGUUGUUAAGGUAACGGCAUACCAAGGCGACGAUGCAUAGCCGACCUGAGAGGGUGAUCGGCCACACUGGAACUGGGACACGGUCCAGACUCCUACGGGAGGCAGCAGUAGGGAAUCGGCCGCAAUGGGCGAAAGCCUGACGCAGCAACGCCGAGUGAGUGAUGAAGGUCUUCGGAUCGGAAAACUCUGUUAUUAGGGAAGAACAGAUGUCUAAGUAGCUGUACAGACCGUGACGGUACCUAAAGAAAAAGCCCCGGCUAACUACGUG
Molecule: ribosomal RNA, 497 nt
Filed under: uncultured bacterium
Lineage: Bacteria
Description: partial 16S ribosomal RNA
Rfam family: Bacterial small subunit ribosomal RNA
Source: RNAcentral